UACGUAGGCAGCGAGCGUUGUUCGGAGUUACUGGGCGUAAAGAGUGCGUAGGCGGUUUUCUAAGUUUGGUGUGAAAUCUCCCGGCUCAACUGGGAGGGUGCGCCGAAGACUGGAAGGCUUGAGUAUGGGAGAGGUAAGCGGAAUUCCUGGUGUAGCGGUGAAAUGCGUAGAUAUCAGGAGGAACACCUGCGGUGUAGACGGCUUACUGGACCAUAACUGACGCUGAGGCACGAAAGCCAGGGGAGCAAACGGG
This 253-nucleotide ribosomal RNA is filed under the name uncultured bacterium. RNAcentral describes it as "partial 16S ribosomal RNA". It matches the Rfam family "Bacterial small subunit ribosomal RNA", at positions 524 to 776 of the family's 1533-position model. The record is from RNAcentral.